UACGAAGGGGGCUAGCGUUGCUCGGAAUCACUGGGCGUAAAGCGCACGCAGGCGGCUUCUUAAGUCAGGGGUGAAAUCCUGGAGCUCAACUCCAGAACUGCCUUUGAUACUGAGGAGCUCGAGUCCGGGAGAGGUGAGUGGAACUCCGAGUGUAGAGGUGAAAUUCGUAGAUAUUCGGAAGAACACCAGUGGCGAAGGCGGCUCACUGGCCCGGUACUGACGCUGAGGUGCGAAAGCGUGGGGAGCAAACAGG
Molecule: ribosomal RNA, 253 nt
Filed under: uncultured bacterium
Lineage: Bacteria
Description: partial 16S ribosomal RNA
Rfam family: Bacterial small subunit ribosomal RNA
Source: RNAcentral